GUUUGAUCCUGGCUCAGGAUGAACGCUAGCGGCAGGCCUAAUACAUGCAAGCCGAACGGUAAGAUUUGUAGCAAUACGGAUCCUAGAGUGGCGUACGGGUGCGUAACACGUAUGCAACCUACCCUUUACAGGGGGAUAGCUCGGGGAAACCCGGAUUAAUACCCCAUAAGAUCGUGUUGAGGCAUCUUGAUGCGAUAAAAACUGAGGUGGUAAAGGAUGGGCAUGCGUCUGAUUAGCUAGUUGGUGAGGUAACGGCUCACCAAGGCGAUGAUCAGUAGGGGAACUGAGAGGUUGAUCCCCCACACUGGCACUGAGAUACGGGCCAGACUCCUACGGGAGGCAGCAGUAGGGAAUAUUGGUCAAUGGGUGGAAGCCUGAGCCAGCCAUGCCGCGUGCAGGAAGACGGCCUUCUGGGUUGUAAACUGCUUUUAUCUGGGGAUAAAAUACCCUUGCGAGGGAGACUGAAGGUACCAGAUGAAUAAGCCACGGCUAACUACGUGCCAGCAGCCGCGGUAAUACGUAGGUGGCAAGCGUUAUCCGGAUUCAUUGGGUUUAAAGGGUGCGUAGGCGGCCAUUUAAGUCAGUGCUGAAAUAUCACAGCUUAACUGUGAGGGUGGCAUUGAUACUGGAUGGCUUGAGUGCUAGCGAGGCAGGCGGAAUUGACGGUGUAGCGGUGAAAUGCAUAGAUAUCGUCAAGAACACCGAUAGUGUAGACAGCUUGCCAGGGAGCAACUGACGCUGAGGCACGAAAGUGUGGGGAUCAAACAGGAUUAGAUACCCUGGUAGUCCACACUGUAAACGAUGAUGACUCGCUGUUGGCGAUAUACGGCCAGCGGGCCAAGCGAAAGCGUUAAGUCAUCCACCUGGGGAGUACGCCGGC
This 880-nucleotide ribosomal RNA is filed under the name uncultured bacterium. RNAcentral's name for it is "bacterial SSU rRNA". It matches the Rfam family "Bacterial small subunit ribosomal RNA", at positions 11 to 889 of the family's 1533-position model. The record is from RNAcentral.